MicroRNA precursor from Danio rerio (zebrafish), 85 nucleotides. Ensembl annotates it as microRNA 125c. Its record names the gene mir125c. NCBI's taxonomy places the organism in Eukaryota, Metazoa, Chordata, Actinopteri, Cypriniformes, Danionidae. The record is from Ensembl.
GCUCUCCUCCUGUUCCCUGAGACCCUAACUCGUGAGGUCUUUUUCCAAAAUCACGGGUCAGGAGCUUGGGAGACAGGUGGAGGGC